CCCAAUAAGCGACGCCGCGCGGGCACCCGCACAGCUCGUGCUGAAGCGGCAGGAUCAUGACACCAUGCUUCUAUCAGACUAAACUAGGGUAGUUGUGAUUACGCAAGUUGCUUACCUUGGUCAGGUGUGACUGAGGAGAGAAUGAAUAAGGCAUGAAAUUUUAAAGUGUCUUUGAGUGCCUAGAAAAUUGGCUGUGCCUUGCUUCCUGCCCGAUGACAGCUGGGAUUGGGUCCAGCACUCCCACGACCCAAGUGGGGAUAAGCGGUGCCAAAAAUGGAUGGAUGCAACUGAAUGAUUCGAUGAAAAAAAACAAAGGAACUUCUUUUACCGUGCAAGAAUUACAACAAAAAAGAUCGAUUCAAAGGAGGCAAGAUGGAGGUGGGUGUGAGCCGUCCAUAGCCACAACUUUCAGAAGCAAGACUCUACGGAGAUUCAUUUUCUUAUAUCUACAGUUAUGUACCUUAUGUGUACAUUUUACUAGGAAAGUGUCUGCGGUCGGAAUCAUUAGUAAUGGUAAUGCAGUCAGGUCUCCUACUUCCACACACGCGUAUGUAAAUACUGUAUAGACAUGCACAUGUAUGCACCGUAUACGCACGAAUAGCCACUCGUCGCUCUUGACACGGGUACUCCAAACAUCAACUAGCCUUGGAAAAGUUCCAGGUUGCUGUCCCUCCCAAUUUGUCAAUCCUCUCGUCCAAUCUGUGUGAUUGUCUUAAUAUGGCCGGCGAGUGGAAAAGACACCCAUGUGGGAGUCACUAAAGUAAAUGUCCCAAAGAUCCUCGUCUCUUUUUUCCAAACAAGAGUCAAGUGUUUAUUUAAUCUUUGAAAGGUACCUACAUUAUGUAGGAUUUGGCCAGUCACUGUAAGAUAAUGCCUUACUGAAUACUCUGCACAGUAAACGAUGUUAUUUUUGUGUCUGUGCAUUCUGCUUGGUUUUUUUUUUUUUUUUUUUUUUUU
This is a long non-coding RNA of Syngnathoides biaculeatus (alligator pipefish), 957 nucleotides long. RefSeq lists it as uncharacterized. The record is from RefSeq and is a predicted model, not a curated record. NCBI's taxonomy places the organism in Eukaryota, Metazoa, Chordata, Actinopteri, Syngnathiformes, Syngnathidae. The transcript is spliced from 4 exons.